AUGUGUCUCCAUUUCUCUGGAAAAAAAUUCCCAAGGGGACAACUGCUGAGUCAAAUGGAAGCCUGCCUAGACUGCCUUCAUCUUUUCUCAUUGGCCAGCUCAGAGAUAAUUCUUGGAAGAUUUUCAUGUAGCAGGUGGUUUUAUCCUGUUCAAGGAAUUUUUAUAGUGAGUGCGAAGAACUCUGAAAAGCAGCUUCCAAAUGGGAAUUGUGGGUCCAAAUGGGAGAAAAAAAAUUGUCUCUUUCUCCUGAAGCCGGUCUCAUAUGAAGCCAGGAAGAGAGGCAGCCACAGCAGAUGUAUUUUAGAAUGAAGACUCAAAAGCAAAGGCAGGUUCUAAGGGCGCCUCUUCAAACCAAGAGAAGGACAUCAAGGAUUUAGAGUUGAGAAAGGAGUCAAGGCAGAACUCCCAAGUAUCUGAGGCUUGAAGGGCAGCUGAUGUGGCUAAGAGCAGAGGCACGCCUUGCACUAAUGUGUAAAUAAAAGUACCGCACAAUAAGUAACAUUAGGAAAGUCUAGGCAAGCCUUAUAACAAGUGGCCCAGGAAAUAUGCCCUGUACACACUUAACACUAGUCAUAUCAUCCAAAAGAAGGUCUUAAAUAAGGGACUGGAAGCAUCAGUGUAGACCAUAUGUGCCUACUUUUCAAACUUUAUUCAUCUCGGAAGACUGCCUGAUGGCUGAAAAUAAGGAUAUUCAUGGGAAUGAAGGAGGAUGAUUUCUAUAUUCUUCUUUUUAAUUGCUGUAUCACUUUAUAGUGGCAAGCCUGUUAAAGAUCCAGAGGCAAUCAGAUAAAAUGAAAGGCUUGGCAGAAAAUUGGAAGAACAAUGUAGGAAGAAAGGAAUCUGUGUUUACAUUGAGAAUACUCAUUUGAGUAAUAAAGAUUCACAAAAAUGAGAGAGAAUUUUAGUAUUGUUUUUACUCUUUCUUUAAAAAAAAAUGCCUUUGAGAUUUUUUUCAAGGCUAGGCUUGAAUCUGUAGAUUACUUUGGGUAAUCUGGACAUUUUAACCAGUAUUCUGUCUUCCAAUCCAUGAACAUGUGAUAUCUUUCCAUCUAUUUAUGUCUCCUUAAAUUUCCUUCAUCAGUGUUUCAUAGUUUCUAGUGUACAGAUACUUAAUCUCCUUGGUCAAGUUUAUUCCUAAGUAUUUUAUUCCUUUUGAUAUUAUUGUGA
RNAcentral lists this long non-coding RNA (1167 nucleotides) under Papio anubis (olive baboon). RNAcentral's name for it is "lncRNA (ENSPANG00000050079.1)". Lineage: Eukaryota; Metazoa; Chordata; Mammalia; Primates; Cercopithecidae. The record is from RNAcentral.